UACGUAGGUGGCAAGCGUUGUCCGGAUUUACUGGGCGUAAAGGGCGUGCAGGCGGUUUGUUAAGUGCAGGGUGAAAGCUCCCGGCUCAACUGGGAGAGGUCCUUGCAUACUGGCGAACUCGAGGGAGGCAGAGGAAAGUGGAAUUCCCGGUGUAGUGGUGAUAUGCGUAGAUAUCGGGAGGAACACCUGUGGCGAAAGCGGCUCACUGGACCACAACUGACGCUGAGGCGCGAAAGCUAGGGGAGCAAACAGG
RNAcentral lists this ribosomal RNA (253 nucleotides) under uncultured bacterium. RNAcentral describes it as "partial 16S ribosomal RNA". It matches the Rfam family "Bacterial small subunit ribosomal RNA", at positions 524 to 776 of the family's 1533-position model. The record is from RNAcentral.